Molecule: ribosomal RNA, 253 nt
Filed under: uncultured bacterium
Lineage: Bacteria
Description: partial 16S ribosomal RNA
Rfam family: Bacterial small subunit ribosomal RNA
Source: RNAcentral
UACGUAGGGUGCGAGCGUUAAUCGGAAUUACUGGGCGUAAAGCGUGCGCAGGCGGUUCUCCAAGUCCGUUGUGAAAGCCCCGGGCUCAACCUGGGAAUGGCAGAGGAAACUAGGGGACUGGAAUCUGGCAGAGGGGGGUGGAAUGCCGCGUGUAGCAGUGAAAUGCGUAGAGAUGCGGCGGAACACCGAUGGCGAAGGCAGCCCCCUGGGCUGAGAUUGACGCUCAGGCACGAAAGCGUGGGGAGCAAACAGG